GACCAUGUGGACCUUGUGGACCUUGCGGACCAUGUGGACCCUGUGGACCAUGUGGACCUUGUGGACCAUGCAUACCAUGUGGUCCAUGUGGACCAUCCGGACCAUGUGUGCCUUGCAGUCCAUGCGGACCGUGUGGACCUUGUGAACCAUAUCUUGCUUGCACCAGCGCAGCAGUCAUCUUGCAGCGAGCAAGAAUGGCCCGUCGCAUGCGACUGAAAAAUGCGUUCAUGUACGAUUGAAGCCAACGAGCUGGACCGACAACUGAAACCAGUUGAUGGUGCCUUGAUGCCUUACCUUGAUAUCUUCCAAAUCCAACGAACUUACGCCGCUGGAUUCGCUACCAACUGGUGACAGCGGGUUCUUGAUGCUGCUGCGAAAGUCGAUGCUCACGGGAGAAAUCGGCGAAAGCAGUCCGAAUCCUUCCAGGAGGUCACCUACGCCCGACAUCGGCACAGCAAUGUUGAGAGCCAUC
Long non-coding RNA from Anopheles coluzzii, 472 nucleotides. RefSeq lists it as uncharacterized. The transcript has 2 exons. Lineage: Eukaryota; Metazoa; Arthropoda; Insecta; Diptera; Culicidae. The record is from RefSeq and is a predicted model, not a curated record.